GUGAGUCAUCGAAUCUUUGAACGCACCUUGCGCUCUUUGGUAUUCCGAAGAGCAUGCCUGUUUGAGUGUCAUUAAAUUCUCAACCUCACCCAUUUUGUCAUGAAGUGGUGUGUUGGCUUGGAUGUGGAGGUUUUGCAGGUCCGGCUCUUCGAGCUGGUCUGCUCCUCUGAAAUGCAUUAGUGGGUCGUGCCCCUCAUCUAUCGGUGUGAUAAUUAUCUACGCCGUCGAUCAGUGUUGGCAACGAUGAGACCCGCUUCUAACCGUCCGACUCGGACAAUCUUGACAUUUUUGACCUCAAAUCAGGUAAGACUACCCGCUGAACUUAA
Molecule: ribosomal RNA, 326 nt
Filed under: uncultured fungus
Lineage: Eukaryota; Fungi
Description: eukaryotic LSU rRNA
Rfam family: 5.8S ribosomal RNA (bases 1-71)
Source: RNAcentral